GAUGAACGCUGGCGGCGUGCCUAAUACAUGCAAGUCGAGUGAACAGACGAGGAGCUUGCUCCUCUGACGUUAGCGGCGGACGGGUGAGUAACACGUGGAUAACCUACCUAUAAGACUGGGAUAACUUCGGGAAACCGGAGCUAAUACCGGAUAAUAUAUUGAACCGCAUGGUUCAAUAGUGAAAGACGGUUUUGCUGUCACUUAUAGAUGGAUCCGCGCCGCAUUAGCUAGUUGGUAAGGUAACGGCUUACCAAGGCAACGAUGCGUAGCCGACCUGAGAGGGUGAUCGGCCACACUGGAACUGAGCCACGGUCCAGACUCCUACGGGAGGCAGCAGUAGGGAAUCUUCCGCAAUGGGCGAAAGCCUGACGGAGCAACGCCGCGUGAGUGAUGAAGGUCUUCGGAUCGUAAAACUCUGUUAUUAGGGAAGAACAAAUGUGUAAGUAACUAUGCACGUCUUGACGGUACCUAAUCAGAAAGCCACGGCUAACUACGUG
RNAcentral lists this ribosomal RNA (497 nucleotides) under uncultured bacterium. RNAcentral describes it as "partial 16S ribosomal RNA". It matches the Rfam family "Bacterial small subunit ribosomal RNA", at positions 28 to 507 of the family's 1533-position model. The record is from RNAcentral.